Long non-coding RNA from Anguilla rostrata (American eel), 270 nucleotides. RefSeq lists it as uncharacterized. NCBI's taxonomy places the organism in Eukaryota, Metazoa, Chordata, Actinopteri, Anguilliformes, Anguillidae. The record is from RefSeq and is a predicted model, not a curated record. The transcript has 2 exons.
ACACCGAUGCCCAGGCCACAUGGGCUUAUAUGACACGAACAUUUUGCAUAUAACAGAUCCAGAGUAAAUCCUAAACCUUUUAAAAUGCUACAGACACAUAUCUGAUACAUAUGCCCUUUUUUGCAACAUAUACAAAAUCAUUACAUAAAUAAUAACACCUCAUUAGAGACUAAACAAACAAUCCAUCUUGCCUUCUUUUCCAGGCUUUUGAGACAGCCAUUUUAAAAACGUCAAACUUAAAUAGCCAUUCCAAUUUUUCAUCACCCCCCC